CCUGAGUACGACGGAGCACGUGAAAUUCCGUCGGAAUCUGGGAGGACCAUCUCCUAAGGCUAAAUACUCUCUAGUGACCGAUAGUGAACCAGUACCGUGAGGGAAAGGUGAAAAGUACCCCGGAAGGGGAGUGAAAGAGAACUUGAAACCGUGUGCUUACAAGUAGUCAGAGCCCGUUAAUGGGUGAUGGCGUGCCUUUUGUAGAAUGAACCGGCGAGUUACGAUCUGAUGCAAGGUUAAGCAGAAAAUGUGGAGCCGUAGCGAAAGCGAGUCUGAAUAGGGCGAAUGAGUAUUUGGUCGUAGACCCGAAACCAGGUGAUCUACCCUUGGUCAGGUUGAAGUUCAGGUAACACUGAAUGGAGGACCGAACCGACUUACGUUGAAAAGUGAGCGGAUGAACUGAGGGUAGCGGAGAAAUUCCAAUCGAACUUGGAGAUAGCUGGUUCUCUCCGAAAUAGCUUUAGGGCUAGCCUCAAGUGAUGAUUAUUGGAGGUAGAGCACUGUUUGGACGAGGGGCCCCUCUCGGGUUACCGAAUUCAGACAAACUCCGAAUGCCAAAUAAUUUAACUUGGGAGUCAGAAUGUGGGUGAUAAGGUCCAUAUUCGAAAGGGAAACAGCCCAGACCACCAGCUAAGGUCCCAAAAUAUAUGUUAAGUGGAAAAGGAUGUGGCGUUGCCCAGACAACUAGGAUGUUGGCUUAGAAGCAGCCAUCAUUUAAAGAGUGCGUAAUAGCUCACUAGUCGAGUGACACUGCGCCGAAAAUGUACCGGGGCUAAACAUAUUACCGAAGCUGUGGAUUGUCCUUUGGACAAUGGUAGGAGAGCGUUCUAAGGGCGUUGAAGCAUGAUCGCAAGGACAUGUGGAGCGCUUAGAAGUGAGAAUGCCGGUGUGAGUAGCGAAAGACGGGUGAGAAUCCCGUCCACCGAUUGACUAAGGUUUCCAGAGGAAGGCUCGUCCGCUCUGGGUUAGUCGGGUCCUAAGCUGAGGCCGACAGGCGUAGGCGAUGGAUAACAGGUUGAUAUUCCUGUACCACCAUUAUUCGUUUUAAGCGAUGGGGGGACGCAGUAGGAUAGGCGAAGCGUGCUGUUGGAGUGCACGUCCAAGCAGUGAGAUUGAGUGUUAGGCAAAUCCGGCACUCUUAAGAUUGAGCUGUGAUGGGGAGAGGAACUUGUUCCUCGAGUCGUUGAUUUCACACUGCCGAGAAAAGCCUCUAGCUAGAAUAACGGUGCCCGUACCGCAAACCGACACAGGUAGUCAAGAUGAGAAUUCUAAGGUGAGCGAGCGAACUCUCGUUAAGGAACUCGGCAAAAUGACCCCGUAACUUCGGGAGAAGGGGUGCUCUUUGAGGUUCACGCUUCGAAGAGCCGCAGUGAAUAGGCCCAAGCGACUGUUUAUCAAAAACACAGGUCUCUGCUAAACCGUAAGGUGACGUAUAGGGGCUGACGCCUGCCCGGUGCUGGAAGGUUAAGAGGAGUGGUUAGCGCAAGCGAAGCUACGAAUCGAAGCCCCAGUAAACGGCGGCCGUAACUAUAACGGUCCUAAGGUAGCGAAAUUCCUUGUCGGGUAAGUUCCGACCCGCACGAAAGGCGUAACGAUUUGGGCACUGUCUCAACGAGAGACUCGGUGAAAUCAUAGUACCGGUGAAGAUGCCGGUUACCCGCGACAGGACG
RNAcentral lists this ribosomal RNA (1670 nucleotides) under Staphylococcus pseudintermedius. Its description in RNAcentral is "partial 23S ribosomal RNA". It matches the Rfam family "Bacterial large subunit ribosomal RNA", at positions 407 to 2082 of the family's 2925-position model. The record is from RNAcentral. Lineage: Bacteria; Bacillati; Bacillota; Bacilli; Caryophanales; Staphylococcaceae.